AGUGAACGCUGGCGGUAGGCCUAACACAUGCAAGUCGAACGGCAGCACAGUAAGAGCUUGCUCUUACGGGUGGCGAGUGGCGGACGGGUGAGGAAUACAUCGGAAUCUACUUUUUCGUGGGGGAUAACGUAGGGAAACUUACGCUAAUACCGCAUACGACCUACGGGUGAAAGCAGGGGAUCUUCGGACCUUGCGCGAUUGAAUGAGCCGAUGUCGGAUUAGCUAGUUGGCGGGGUAAAGGCCCACCAAGGCGACGAUCCGUAGCUGGUCUGAGAGGAUGAUCAGCCACACUGGAACUGAGACACGGUCCAGACUCCGACGGGAGGCAGCAGUGGGGAAUAUUGGACAAUGGGCGAAAGCCUGAUCCAGCAAUACCGCGUGGGUGAAGAAGGCCUUCGGGUUGUAAAGCCCUUUUGUUGGGAAAGAAAAGCAGCAGGUUAACACCCCGCUGUUCUGACGGUACCCAAAGAAUAAGCACCGGCUAACUUCGUG
RNAcentral lists this ribosomal RNA (492 nucleotides) under uncultured bacterium. RNAcentral describes it as "partial 16S ribosomal RNA". It matches the Rfam family "Bacterial small subunit ribosomal RNA", at positions 29 to 507 of the family's 1533-position model. The record is from RNAcentral.